Molecule: long non-coding RNA, 1989 nt
Organism: Rattus norvegicus (Norway rat)
Lineage: Eukaryota; Metazoa; Chordata; Mammalia; Rodentia; Muridae
Source: RefSeq, a predicted model, not a curated record
AAGGCGUGUGUCUGCGCCGUGGCCGCCGCCGCCGCCGCUGCCUGUCGCCGAGCCUGGCAUCUCCGAGCCCCCGCGCGGGGGGCUGCCGCCCAGCGCUGAUUGACAGCCCGCCUCGCCAAUGCCUGGAGGGAGAAAGGAGGUACAGAUAUGCAACAAUAACUAUAUGGAGAUGUAUAUUAGACUCCUGGAGCUGAAUAUCACUGUGCAGAAGAUGGCUGAUGGUUUGAGUAUGGACGAGUGAAGACAUGGGACAGAAGCCCAGCCAGUCAGACAGCCUCAGAGGAUGCAGAACAGCCUGGGAACAGAGAGGAGGCUCAAGACAAUGAAAACCGAUACCACGGGAGGAAGCACUUCUGAAGGAGAAAUGGAUUCAGUUCCAACAGGCUUGGAGACAUUUAGCAAAAUAUAAAUAAAAAGAUAAGACAACGUGCUAAGUAAUCAUUAUUGAGGACCUUGCUGAGAACAUAUGAUGCCAGGCUGAGGAACGUGGGGUAUACCUACCUGGCAGGGCACCUAGCGCAGCACACUCGGGGCUCUGGAUUUAUGCCCCGCACCAGAGAGGGUAAAGGGAAUAAGGACAGACUGAGAAGGAGAGCAAGAGAAUCCUGCUUUCCUGAGACUCUGAGAGGGAAGAGCGAGUCUGGGGUUGGAGAGAUGGCUCGGUGGCUAAGAACACAGACUGCUCUCCCGGAGGUCCUGAGUUCAAUUCCUAGCAACCACAUGGUGGCUCACAACCAUCUGUCAUGGGAUCCAAGACAAUGACAGUGCACAGUGUACUUACACAAAACAAAUCAAUAAAUAUUUUAAAAAUAUUAUUUUAUGUGACUGUGUUUUGCCUUCAUGUAUGUCUGUGUACCACUUGCAUACCUGGUGCCCAUGGGGUGCAGAAGAGGGCUCUGAGCUCCCUGGAACUGACACUACAGAGCCGGGAAUCAAACCUGGGUCUUCGGGAAGAGCCAAUCAUUGACCUAUCGUUCCAGCCCCUUAGUUAAUCUUAGUUUUCCUCUUUUUAAAGACUUAUUUAUUUAUUUUAUGUAUAUGAGUGCUCUGUAUGUAUGUACACUUGCGCCCCAAAGAGGGCAUCAGGUCUCAUUACAGAUGGUUGUGAUACCGGAAAUUGAACUUAGGACCUUUGGAAGAGCAGCCAGUGCUUUUAACCGGGGAGCCAUCUCUCCAGCCUCUAAUCUUAGUUUUCUAUUUAUGUGAAUUCAUUUCUCACUAUCAAAGAAAGAAAACUCCUUUUGGUAACUUUAAACCGUAAAGGAAUUGACCAGAAGGCUGUUCCAUAACUCAGGGGGGAAGUGCUGGGAAUCUUGCCGCAGGGUAACAGCUCAGAGUGUGGUAGCUUGAAGGAGAAAUGUCUUCCUUAGCCUCGGCCCUUGGAGCCGAGGUGGAACGUGGUAAGACGUGCUGGGUGUGGAAAGUUCGGAGGGCGUGGCUUCCCCAGAGGAAGUACGUCGAUGGAGGUGGGCCUUUAGAGAGUCUCGACUAGGACUUGAAGUUCCAGGACACGAGUUCUCAACUUCCUUUUCCUGUUGUCAUCCUUGCCAUCCGCUGCCAUGCUGCCAUGCUGCCAUGCCUCCGCAUCACCACAUCUUCCCAUCAUUAUGGUGACGGACUUGUCCUGGAACCAUAAGCCAAAUAAAGCCUUCCUUCUAUCUGAACAGCCAAGUCUGCUUGAACCAAUAUCACAGCUGAAAUUUGUCGUAGGCCGAGGCAUUUGCUGGGAACAGGAAAUGGAGAACAUUACCAGGGGAAUGGAGUCCUUCUGUUUCCAGGUUGGAGCUGUGGUGUCUGUAAGAAAAAGGAAGCAGAGAGGACAGGCUGGCGCUGGUGUCAUUAUGCCCCCCUUCCUGAAUAUUUCCUACCAAGCAACUGCUUUGGAAAUAACAAAAUGAUUUCACUAUGGAAAAAAUGCAGAGCAAAGAAUCCGGGGCUGUUUGAUUGGCUAAUAAUGAACAUAAAGGAGUCCGUGCUUGUUGAAUGGCA